RNAcentral lists this ribosomal RNA (426 nucleotides) under uncultured bacterium. RNAcentral describes it as "bacterial SSU rRNA". It matches the Rfam family "Bacterial small subunit ribosomal RNA", at positions 356 to 773 of the family's 1533-position model. The record is from RNAcentral.
GGGGAAUCUUGCGCAAUGGGCGAAAGCCUGACGCAGCGACGCCGCGUGGGUGAUGAAGGCCCUCGGGUUGUAAAGCCCUGUGGGGAGGAACGAACCGUUCGGGGGUGAAUACCCUCCGAGCCUGACGGUACCUCCUUAGCAAGCAUCGGCUAACUCUGUGCCAGCAGCCGCGGUAAGACAGAGGAUGCGAACGUUGCUCGGAAUUACUGGGCGUAAAGCGCGCGCAGGUUGCCUUGUAAGUCGUGUGUGAAAUCCCUCUGCUCAACGGAGGAAGUGCACGGGAUACUGCAAGGCUGGAGUACAGAAGAGGACAGCGGAAUUCCCGGUGUAGAGGUGAAAUUCGUAGAUAUCGGGAGGAACACCAGUGGCGAAGGCGGCUGUCUGGGCUGAUACUGACACUGAGGCGCGAAAGCGUGGGAAGCAAAC